UGGGGAAUAUUGCACAAUGGGCGCAAGCCUGAUGCAGCGACGUCGCGUGAGGGAUGGAGGCCUUCGGGUUGUGAACCUCUUUCGCCGGUGAAGAAGGUCCUGUUCUUUGUGGUGGGGCUGACGGUAGCCGGGUUAUGAAGCGCCGGCUAACUACGUGCCAGCAGCCGCGGUAAUACGUAGGGCGCGAGCGUUGUCCGGAAUUAUUGGGCGUAAAGGGCUUGUAGGCGGCUGGUCGCGUCUGCCGUGAAGUCCUCUGGCUCAGCUGGGGGCGUGCGGUGGGUACGGGCUGGCUUGAGUGCGGUAGGGGAGGCUGGAACUCCUGGUGUAGCGGUGGAAUGCGCAGAUAUCAGGAGGAACACCGGUGGCGAAGGCGGGUCUCUGGGCCGUUACUGACGCUGAGGAGCGAAAGCGUGGGGAGCGAACAGGAUUAGAUACCCUGGUAGUCCAUGCUGUAAACGUUGGGCACUAGGUGUGGGGGGUCUUUCCGGGUCCUCCGCGCCGUAGCUAACGCUUUAAGUGCCCCGCCUGGGGAGUACGGCCGCAAGGCUA
RNAcentral lists this ribosomal RNA (549 nucleotides) under uncultured bacterium. Its description in RNAcentral is "bacterial SSU rRNA". It matches the Rfam family "Bacterial small subunit ribosomal RNA", at positions 355 to 896 of the family's 1533-position model. The record is from RNAcentral.